This 433-nucleotide ribosomal RNA is filed under the name uncultured bacterium. Its description in RNAcentral is "partial 16S ribosomal RNA". It matches the Rfam family "Bacterial small subunit ribosomal RNA", at positions 29 to 507 of the family's 1533-position model. The record is from RNAcentral.
AACGAACGAGGGCGGAAGGAGGAACACAUGCAAGUCGAACGAAGCCUUCGGGCUUAGUGGCGCACGGGUGCGUAACGCGUGGGAAUCUGCCCUUGGGUUCGGAAUAACAGUUAGAAAUGACUGCUAAUACCGGAUGAUGUCUUCGGACAAAAGAUUUAUCGCCCAAGGAUGAGCACGCGUCGGAUUAGCUAGUUGGUGAGGUAAAGGCUCACCAAGGCGACGAUCCGUAGCUGGUCUGAGAGGAUGAUCAGCCACACUGGGACUGAGACACGGCCCAGACUCCUACGGGAGGCAGCAGUGGGGAAUAUUGGACAAUGGGCGAAAGCCUGAUCCAGCAAUGCCGCGUGAGUGAUGAAGGCCUUAGGGUUGUAAAGCUCUUUUACCCGGGAUGAUAAUGACAGUACCGGGAGAAUAAGCCCCGGCUAACUCCGUG